RNAcentral lists this unclassified non-coding RNA (1142 nucleotides) under Haliotis rufescens (red abalone). RNAcentral's name for it is "serine/arginine-rich splicing factor 7-like, transcript variant X3". The record is from RNAcentral. Lineage: Eukaryota; Metazoa; Mollusca; Gastropoda; Lepetellida; Haliotidae.
GUUACUUCUUGUGACAUGGACCUACGAGGAGGGUCCUCUCGCCACAGUAACAUUCUCGAUGAGAGGCCAUGUACUAAGCAUAUCAUGUCAAGAUACAGGGAUCAAGGCACAGACACAAAGAUUUAUGUGGGAGACCUACCCAAAGAUGCAUCUGAGAAAGAAAUAGAUCGCCACUUCAGUUAUUACGGUCGUUUACGAAAUGUAUGGGUGGCAAGAAAUCCCCCAGGUUUUGCUUUUGUUGAGUUUGAAGAUCCACGGGAUGCUGAGGAUGCAGUGAGAGCACUUGAUGGAACAACUGUCUGUGGCGCAAGAGUGCGUGUCGAACACUCCACUGGAAAAGUGCGCCCUAAACCAUGGCUGAGGGGCAGUGGAGGUAGCGGAGGUGGUGGUGGUGGCGGCGGCGGCGGUGGCGGCGGUGGGGGCGGUGGUGGUGGUGGUAGAGGCCCUCCACGUCCCCGGAAACAGUUCCACCCUGAAGACCGAUGCUAUGAGUGUGGAGACCGAGGACACUAUGCCUAUGACUGCUACAAGUAUAGCCGCAGAAGGUCAAAGAGAUCAAGACUUUCCCUUCUUCCACUUACGAUUCUGAUGAGAAUCAUCGCUCAUUCCACCAGACUAAGAUAUCAACCUUCAUCCCCGACUUCUAGACUUCACAUAUCUCUCACGUGAUCAGCCAUCGCUGAAAUUACGACCCCAUCCCCCCGUGGUGACUUCACUCAGAGAGAAACUCGAUCUGCAACAAUUUCAGCCCAAAAUUCGACCAUCUCCUUCAGUUCACCUGAGACAAGCGUCAAAUAGAUCUCGAAACAACAAGCACAAUCGAUGAUCAUCCUUCUAUCAUACACAGUAGAAUGGGUCAACACAUCAUUUCUGCUGCGUUCCAAUGAUUGAAUGAGAUGAUCGAUUGAACAUACACGACCAUUAUCUAGAAAUUCAUGACUGCUGUAAGCGUCUAGAUCGCAUUCUAGAUCAAGGAGUGUGUCUCGCAGCCGGAGCCGCAGCAGGAGCCGCAGCCGCAGUCGAGGUGGGAGAUAUUCCCGCAGUCGGAGCCACAGUCGGAGCAGGUCCCCACGCGACCGCUCCCGAUCUAGAUCACGCUCCCGUGACCAUGAAGAUGACCGAGAAUAAGAAGGAUAUACCGA